Molecule: long non-coding RNA, 4007 nt
Filed under: Brassica napus (rape)
Lineage: Eukaryota; Viridiplantae; Streptophyta; Magnoliopsida; Brassicales; Brassicaceae
Description: long non-coding RNA (BNAP_LNC002314)
Source: RNAcentral
UAUAUAUAUAUCUAGGAGUUAAGUGGUUGAAGCAUCAUGCUUUUGUGGCGUCCUUAGCCUCUCCUGCUUUACCCUCAACAAACUCGGCAACUUUGUUCCCAGCUUCGUUUCCUUUUGCCUUCACAUAAUCCAAAGCUUUCUGAGCUUCAUCCACUGCAGUGUCUUUGGCUUCAACGUUCUUAUCAACAACGUAGCCUUUUGCUUUCUCGCCAUUUUUCAAGGCCUCCUUUGUCUUCUCCGUCGCGUAAUCCGAAGCUCUCUUUCUGUUCAUGUAUGUGUAUAUUCAGAUUCAUUGUUGACAAAACGUAUAUCCACAUUGGCUAACAUGGAAGUAUCUUACUUAAUUUUCAAAUAUUUGAGUCAAUAUGUAAACUAAAAAAUUAGAAGAGAUAUCAAUUAUAUAUUAUGGUUUAUGAACCUCUAUAUCUUGAAUGAUAUUGUAAUAUCAUGGUUAGUAAUAUAUAUAUAUAUAUAUGUGAGAGUUUUUGGGUGAAUAAGUUUAGACUUUAGACUUACGUGGCUUCAUUGAGGUCAUCCAGAAUGUUGCCGUCACCUUUAUCGGCGUAGAUCAACGACUUCUUGCGCUGAGCGACGACGACGAGCUCAGUUUUCCGGCCAAAACCGACGGCGCCAACGCCGCUCUGCUUGGCUAUGCCGCUGGAGAAAGAAGAACCAAUCCCAAUGAGAACAGCUGAUCCUGAGAGUGACAUAGCCAUGAAAGUUCUCUUUAAAGAGUCAAAAGCGAGCAAAAGAAAUCAAAGGAGGAGUUUUAAUAGGAACAAGAGUGAGAUGAGUAAUAAUCUAUUCUCCAAUAGUAUCAUAGUUUUAUAGAUACUAGACCAACUGCAAUCCAAAUCACGUGGCAUCGUAGAAUUUUUUUAUAAUGCAUUGAUGUUAUUUUCUUUAACUAUUGAAAAAACAGGUCGGCCAUCAAAACUUGUGGUGAUAUACAUGUUAGCAUUUCUGCUUUUAUUUUUUGCAAAAUUAAAAACAAAAAAAUCGGAGUUGUGGGUCGUUAUCGUUACUUCACGUGUACCACCUUUGUUGUGAUAAAAACAAAAGUAUACGUCGGCCAACAUGUUAGUAAAUCUACCCAAAAAAAAAAAAAACGUAUAUGAUGGCAAGCCUAAAAAGUUUUCAAAGUAUAGAUAUAAAAAUAUAACGUAUAUGAUGGCAAGCCUAUCACACUUAUAGAGUGAUAUAUGGUUUAUGGUAUUUCAUGGGGUUCCAUUACAUAAAUAACAAUUAAUUAACGUCAUAUUUGUAAUUUCAAAAGGCAUACCAUUAUAUUUAUUUUCCUUUAAACAACAUAUUUAUCUACUAAAACCAAUUUUUGUAAUUUCAAAAGGCAUACCAUUACAUAAAUAACAAUUAAUUAACGUCACUUUCAGAGAUAUCCUAUCCACUAGGAACUUCUAAACAGACAUGGUAUAAUAGCUUAAAUAAAAACUACAAACCAUAUUUUCACAAAGUUGCAUAUAUAACGGUCACCGGGUGCAAGAUUAGUUUUUUCAAUUAGGAUUUGCAAAAUGGGUUAAAUCGUUUCAUUGAAUGCUAUAUAACAUUGAUUUUUUUUUGUACAAAAUAUUAGCGUGGUGCAUCGAUUUUCUGAUACAUCAGAGCCAAGCCAUCAGGACCGGCUCAAAGAAAUCACGAAUCUUGGACAAAAUGGUUUAAAAUAUUUUUAUACCUAGAUGGGUAACUUAAAAAUUGAGCAAAUUGCAUAAAAACUCUCAAAGUGGUAUUCAUUAACACUUUAAACUUUUAAAGUUUUUCAUUGGCAUUUUAAACUUUCAACCUAACAUUUGUAUCGCAAAAAACUUUAAACUUAACUUAUUUGUUCAUCAAAUUGUAACUAAAUCUUAGAACAUGAAUCUUUCAAUGUCGACCGCAAGAUAACUAUUCAUUUACAUGUAAUAUGUAGUGACAUGUCAGUCUUUAAUAAUAAAAUAAAUAAAAUUAGAUAAUAUAACUUUUUUUCUAAAAUCAUAUUUUAAAAGAAAAAUCUUUCACAUGUUCAAGUAUUAAAUUUUAAACUUUCUAAAAGUAAAUAAAAUAUUCAAAGACUUUUUUAUAAAUUGUCUAAAACUUAAGAAUAUUAUAAAAUUCGAAUUUUUUAACACAAAUUCAAGUAAUAUUGCAACACCGAUUCAAGAGCGGAAGAACACCGAUUCUGGUUGCAACAGACGUAGCAGCACGUGAGUCUCGACAUUCACCACGUGGCUCAUGUUGUGAACUUUGAUCUACCAAAUGACAUUGAUGACUAUGUCCACCGUAUUGGGCGGACAGGACGUGCUGACAAAUCAGGACUUGCAACUGCCUUCUUUAACGAUGGCAACACUUCCAUGGCAAGACCGCCCUCGCUGAGCUGAUGCAAGAAGCUUACCAGGAAGUCCCUGAAUGGCUCACACGAUAUGCCUCGCGUUCCUCUUUUGGUGGUGGUAGGAACCGGCGUGGUGGUGGUUGGUUUGGAGGCCAUGAUUUUAAAUAAGGGUCAUACCUUUACAGUAGAGGAGGAGGCGGUGGUUGUAGCAAUUACUGUGGCGGUGAAGGAGAAGGAGGAGGAGGCUAUGGUGAUGGAUAUGGUGCCCCAAGUGGUGGAUAUAGCGGAGAAACUCCAAGUGCUUGGGGACUAGGCUCCUAGAGUGUUUUUUUUUUUGUUAUAAUUCUUUGAUUACUGUUUUUAUUCUAAAUUUCCAAAGAGCAUGUAUUAGUGUAUUACCCCUUUACAGCUAUAUGAGAUUUCAUUGAAGAGAUGGAUACAUACAUAACUAAUGUUAGGUGAUUUGAUCCUUUGUGCUAUUUUUAGGGGAUGUACUAAAAGUAACAGUCGCCAAGCUUCACAGUGUUUGUAUCUAAGUUUUGAUCAUGUUCCUGGUUUCUUAUAAAGUUAUAGCGCAGCUUCACUUAGUUUUGAAAUCCAUAGAAGUUCUUUUUUAUUACUUUUUUAAUACUUUGAUUUUCUCUUCUAUUCUCCUAAAAGAGCAAGUUUGAGAAGUUGUUCAGACAAACAAACAUAAAAGGAACAAACAUCAAAAGAGAAACACAAUUGAAGCAAACCACUUGAGGGUUGAAACAGAGACAAGCGCCUAAAAUUGGAUAAAUCUGAACCAAGUUUCGAUGAGAGGAGACGAGCUUGCGUAAGAGCGAAGAAGAGAGGCUCGGUUACUGAUGUCAAGACCAUAAAGCUUUGCUCUGAGAGUGAGUUGAAAUUCCUUUACCAAAGUGAUAGCCGGCCUACUAACAUAGGCGAAUGAAAUCUGACAUUUCUUUCUUUCCAAAGAGAAUAAAACCACAGCAUGAAAAAUGAGCAGGCACACCAAAUUUAACUCCUUGUUCGAAACUCUCCUUUUAAGCCAGAUAAUAAUGUCAGUCAAAGAAUAUGGAGGAGAUAAAUCCUAUGUCUGAAGAAGGACGACCAAACAUCCAGCGAAUAAGGACAAAUGACGAACAACUGUGCACUGGUUUCAUCAUUAGCACCACAUAGCAAACAAGAGUGAGGGACAUUCAUACCCCAUUGGAUCAAUUUAUCUCUCGUUGGAAGCCUUUCACCCAAACAGUUUAUCGUUGGAAUACCCCGUUAGUUCUUUUUCAUUCAGUUUCUCAUUAAUAUAUAUGCUUUGAAAACAUCAUCAAGAUCUAACCUAACUUACGGUAUGGUAAUGGUUUAAACUUUAAAGUAUGAUGAUGAGUAGUUAAGUAACAUAUCUUUUAUUUCAAAUAGUGAAAUAGAAGUAAAAACAAACUGAUCUUAUUGUAUAAUAUUAAACAUGAAACAUGAAGGAUUGAUACAUAUAUAUAUAUAUAUACUAGUUAAGUGGUUGAAUCAUCAUGCCUUUGUAGUGUCCUUAUCCUCUCCUGCUUCGUUUCCUUUUUCCUUCACAUAAUCCAAAACUUUCUGAGCUUCAUCCAAUGCAGUGUCUUUGGCUUCAACGUUUUUCUCAUCAACGUAGUCUUUUGCUUUCUCUCCAUCUUUCAACGCCUCCUUUGUCUUGUCUGUCACGUAA